Molecule: ribosomal RNA, 2484 nt
Filed under: Triticum aestivum (bread wheat)
Lineage: Eukaryota; Viridiplantae; Streptophyta; Magnoliopsida; Poales; Poaceae
Description: partial small subunit ribosomal RNA
Source: RNAcentral
AUGAAUUGGCCUUGCAGGCUCCGGUUUCCCAAUAGGAACGAACACAAGCGAGCUAGGAAAAUGAUGGGCAUCCAGGACAUCCGCGAUAUUGUGUCAUCCCUGUUCAUCAUGCUGAAUAAGGAGACAUUCGUCCUGUUUCGGAUCGAGUUUCUCGUGGUCCUGGUCACAGUGUUGUUUCUUGUGAUGUUCAUCAUAGACGUCUUUCGCCGUCACAUCCGCAACAUAUUCAUGAAAACCAUGUUUAGCAUCCUGGAUGCUAUCUCGGACUCUAUUGUCUUAUACCUGUUGGGGGCCAUGCAAACAGCCAAGUUCAAGAAUCACCUGUUCCCGGCCUGGGCCCUCGUGCUUGUUAGUUUCCGUUACAAUGUCGACUUCAUCUCUGGCUAUGGUGUUCAUGACCGCCAUGGGCGACGGUACAUGGAGUGGAGAAACGUGGUGAAACUUCUGGGAUCGGCCUUCUUGAUCUUGUGGCGCGGCUCAAGGUUCACGGUUCCACUCUGGUCGCUUUUGGCCCUGCAGAUACUGAGGAGCUGGUACAGAUUCUGUGAGCAUGGUCUGGCGCUCCGUUCUAUCUGGCAUGGCACAAGUUCAGAGGUCAUUUCAGAGUAUAUGCGUGCUGGCCCUCACACUAGGAACUGGAAACCAGAGGACUGCAACCCAGAGAAUAUGGAAGGAUACAAAUACUUGGUCCUAGGAGAAACCAAUCAGGGAAUCAGACUCAAGAAGCCUCGGUAUGUCUUGUACAUCCAUACUGCCCAGUCCGUCAAGCAAGCUGAGCGUGGUUUUUCAUCACUGGUCACCCUAGACAAGAUCUGGGGAUGUCGCAGGAACCUAUUACACCCAGACAACAAAGAGGGGAAUGACCCAAAGGAUCUCUGUCUGGCCUUCGCCUUGUCCAGGCUGCUCCGUUGCAGGCUCGAGGAUGUGACACUGCAAGAAGAAAUCUUUUGCAUCAACCGGAAGCUGGUUAAGACCAAGAUCAUUGAGGAGCAAGACACCAACCGCGCCUUCAGGGUCAUGGAGCUGCAACUCUCCUUCGUAAAUGACUACUUCAACACCCACUACCCUAUGGUCUUCUGGAGUGGUUACUUAUCUCUAUUUUCAAAUCUGCUCCUCUCCGUGGUGACCUUCGGUGUUGUCUGCUGGCUUGCUGUGGACAUCCGUAAGGUCUAUAAGCCUCCGAAGGAUGAUCGGGCUCAUGUGGUGCAUGGGUUGAAUGUUGACAUGAUCAUCACCUGGGUAUUCAUGUUUUUUAUGCUGUUCAAAGAGAUCUGGGAGAUGGUCAGCUACUUGGUCUCAGACUGGACAAGAUUACUCCUUGUUUGCAGCUAUGCACAGUGGAAGGAAGAGCACACCAGAGAUAGACGUAUGGAGGGCACAAUAUCAUCCUUUUUCAAAUCAAGGAUAACUAGUAAGCACUGGCAUGGACUUAUUGACCAGUACGUCUUUUUGGAGUCAUAUGAUGACAUUCCAAGAUGUUGGAAUGUGAUGCACCAAAUAAGCACAGGAAUGGUUCCAAAGAAGGGUGAUGGAGCAAAACUCCGCAGCGCCAUCAGUGUGCCAGAAUGUAUCAAGCCGGCAAUACUGAAGAAGCUCCGUGCAAGCCUAGAGAAGCUCAACACUUCUAACAAUCUACAUCAGCCCGACAAUACCAACAGAAAUCAGGAGGAGCCCACCAUUAGGAGUGGUAUUCUUCUGCCCAAGGUCGUCAGGUCACUGUCCCAAAGGAAGCAGUACAAUUGGGCCUGCUUCGACCUGCCCACAUGCUCUCACGUAAUUCUGGUGUGGCACAUUGCAACCAGCCUCUGUGAGAUUAAAUUUGCUAGAGACCAUGGCGUCGACUUAAGCAAACAUGGGUUCCUGAGCUCCCUCUCAUCGUACUUCACGGGUUGCUGCUCAUCGAAACCAUAUCUUGUGGAUGUGGAUGUGGAUGAGAUGACAAAAGAAAAGAAAGUUAAUGGGAAGUUGCCCGAUAAGCUCAAGGAAAUGUAUGUCACUGCAAAUAGCUUGUCUCGGUACUGUGCAUAUCUGCUAGUUUCUAAGCCUGACCUGAUCCCUGACAGCUUUUAUGUACCCAACAUGGUCUUACAAGAAACCGUGACACGCGCUCGUGAUGAUAUUCUUAAAAAAUGUGACUCAUUGCAGAGUAGAUAUGACAAACUGAUGGAAGUAGCAGAGAAGGCCAUCCAAGAUGGUGACGACAUCUUGAAGGAAGAUGUUGUGCGACUAGGUGCAAAGCUGGGCAAGGAACUGAUUGAUCAAGAGAGUAAAGAAGAAUGCUGGGAGAUCCUCUCCGAGGUAUGGGCGGAGUUACUAGUGCACAUUGCCCCCACUUGGAACGCAGAGGCGCACAAGCAGUGCCUCGAGUCAGGAGGGGAAUUCAUAACCUAUAUCUGGGCAUUGCUAUGGCACUGUGGAAUCGAGAAGAGCAAAUUAUGGCCAGUAGAAGAUGUGUAUGGAAAUGAUGUUGAAAAUAUGUCCUAG